UGGUUCCCCUCGUCCCAAACUUUUGGUAUGUUCGUGUUUUAUUAUUCCGUUUUCAUUUCAAGGUGCAUUUUCUUUCCAUGUAUUUAUUCUUUUGGUCAACGUCUUACAUAUAAUUCGUUUUGGAAAAAAUGUUUUCCAGGCGUAAAUCCAAGCACGCAAUAUGUGUUCCGAUGAGCCCAUUUCAUUUGUUAUCUGUGUGUUAUUUAUCGUUACUUAGUAUACAUUUUUAAGGUAUAAAAUUAUAUAAAUUCAAGAUCGUGCCUGUUCUUCCAUGCUAUGCCUCGCUAGGGUUUUAUGCAUUUCCUGUUAAAGCUGAAUGCUAUGCUAACACUUUUCGAUUAUAGGAUACCAAUAGGGGCAUUGAUAUACAUGUACCAUCAAAUUUUAAAAUAAAUUCAAAAUACCAU
This 407-nucleotide long non-coding RNA is filed under the name Mytilus galloprovincialis (Mediterranean mussel). Lineage: Eukaryota; Metazoa; Mollusca; Bivalvia; Mytilida; Mytilidae. The record is from RNAcentral.